GAGCCGUCAGCAGGCUUUGAUCCAGGGAUUUCCGAAUGGGGCAACCCGUUCCGAAUUAAAUGUCGGAACAUCCUGAGCUGAAUACAUAGGUUCAGGCAGCGAACUAGGAGAACUGAAACAUCUCAGUAACCUAAGGAAAAGAAAAAGAAAUUGAUUCCCUCAGUAGCGGCGAGCGAAAGGGGAAGAGCCUAAACCAAACAUAUGUUAAAGUUUGUGCGCGUUGUGUGUUUGGGGUUGAGGGGCUUGAGUGGGAGGAUGCACAAAUCUUCCGGAGAGUCAAAAACUUACAUUUUAGACGAACUGUCCUGGAAUGGCAGGCCAUAGAAGGUGACAGCCCUGUAAGCGAAAAAAUGUAAGCUCUCUUGCUUGAGUUCCCAAGUACCACGGGACACGAGAAACCCUGUGGGAAGCUAUCCCGACCACGGGAUAAGGCUAAAUACUAAUUGGCGACCGAUAGUGAACAAGUACCGCGAGGGAAAGGUGAAAAGCACCCCAGUGAGGGGAGUGAAAUAGUAUCUGAAACCAUAUACUUACAAACAGUGGGAGUUCCGAGCAAUCGGAAUGACCUCGUACCUUUUGUAUAAUGAGCCGGCGAGUUAUUCUUUGUUGCAAGGUUAAUUCACCAGAGGUGAAGGAGCCGAAGCGAAAGCGAGUCUUAAAUGGGCGAUCUAAGUAACAUGGAAUAGACCCGAAACCAAGUGAGCUACCCAUGGCCAGGGUGAAACCUCGAUAAAACGGGGUGGAGGCCCGAACCUUUGCACCUUAAAAAGUGUCUGGAUGAGCUGUGGGUAGGGGUGAAAGGCCAAUCAAACUUGGAAAUAGCUGGUACUCCCCGAAAUAUUUUUAGGAAUAGCCUUAUAAAUUAAGUGAUGGCGGUAGAGCACUGGAUGGACUAGGGGCCCUACCAGGUUACCAAACCCAACCAAACUCCGAAUGCCAUCAACUUCUAUUAUAAGAGUCAGACUGUGGGGGAUAAGCUUCAUAGUCGAGAGGGAAACAGCCCAGACCAUCAGCUAAGGUCCCAAAAUACAAGCUAAGUGGGAAAGGUUGUGGGAAUGCUUAGACAGCCAGGAGGUUGGCUUAGAAGCAGCCAUCCUUUAAAGAAAGCGUAACAGCUCACUGGUCAAGUGAGCCUGCGCCGAAAAUCCAACGGGGCUCAAGCUUGUUACCGAAGCUAUGGAACGUCAGGUUGUGAACAGAGUUCGCAACCUUUCUAAUGAAAAUUGUAAAUUGUAAAAUGAAAAUUUGUAUUUUUAAAUUUGCAAUUUGAAAUUAGUUGUGAGCUGUGUUCACAAUCUGGCGUUGGUAGGGGAGCAUUCUAUAUCAGACACACGUUCGUUUGCGAAAGCGGAUAUCGGGAUAUAGAAGAGAUAAUGCCGGCAUAAGUAGCGAUAAUGGCGGUGAGAAACCGCCACGCCGAAAACCUAAGGUUUCCUGGGGAAGGUUAAUCCACUCAGGGUUAGUCGGUACCUAAGCCGAGGCUGAAAAGCGUAGGCGAUGGAGAACAGGUUAAUAUUCCUGUACCACCGGAAAAGCGUUUGAGCAAUGGGGGGACGCGGUAGGAUAUACUUGCUUCGUGAUGGAAUACGAAGUUCAUCUAUGUAGGAGGACGUCUUUGGCAAAUCCGGGAUGUCUUUAACUCUGAGGUAGGUGGGGGCGCCCGCAAGGGCCGUAAGUAGUAAACUCCAAGCUGCCAAGAAAAACCUCUAGCGAGCUUUUCAGGUGACCGUACCAUAAACCGACACAGGUGGGUGAGGAGAAUAUCCUAAGGCGCUCGAGAGAACCCUAGUUAAGGAACUCGGCAAAUUAACUCCGUAACUUCGGAAGAAGGAGUGUCUUGAAGGGUGAAGUGAUUUACUCAUGGAGCCUUUUAAGAUCGCAGCGAAAUGGCCCAGGCGACUGUUUAUCAAAAACACAGGUCUCUGCUAAGUCGUAAGACGAUGUAUAGGGACUGACGCCUGCCCGGUGCUGGAAGGUUAAGGGGUGGGGUCAUCCCCACGCAAGUGGGGGGAAGCUCUUAACCGAAGCCCCAGUAAACGGCGGCCGUAACUAUAACGGUCCUAAGGUAGCGAAAUUCCUUGUCGGGUAAGUUCCGACCUGCACGAAUGGCGUAACGAUCUGGGCACUGUCUCAACUAGGGACUCGGCGAAAUUGUAGUACCGGUGAAAAUGCCGGUUACCCGUGGCAAGACGGAAAGACCCCGUGCACCUUUACUACAACUUGACAAUGAAUCUUGGAACACUAUGUGUAGGAUAGGUGGGAGACUAUGAAGUUCCGGCGCUAGUCGGAGCGGAGUCGUCCUUGAAAUACCACCCUUAUUUUUCCGGGAUUCUAAUCCUAUCCCUUGAAUCAGGGAGGGAGACAUUGUCUGGUGGGUAGUUUGACUGGGGCGGUCGCCUCCCAAAAUGUAACGGAGGCGCCCGAAGGUUCCCUCAGGCUGAUUGGAAACCAGCCGUGGAGUGUAAAGGCAUAAGGGAGCUUGACUGCGAGACCUACAAGUCGAGCAGGUGCGAAAGCAGGGCUUAGUGAUCCGGCGGUUCUGCGUGGAAGGGCCGUCGCUCAACGGAUAAAAGGUACGCCGGGGAUAACAGGCUUAUCGCCUCCAAGAGUUCACAUCGACGAGGCGGUUUGGCACCUCGAUGUCGGCUCGUCGCAUCCUGGAGCUGAAGCAGGUUCCAAGGGUCGGGCUGUUCGCCCGUUAAAGCGGUACGCGAGCUGGGUUCAGAACGUCGUGAGACAGUUCGGUCCCUAUCUGCCAUGGGCGCAGGAUAUUUGAGGAGAUCUGUCCCUAGUACGAGAGGACCGGGAUGGACGAACCUCUGGUUCACCAGUUGUCACGCCAGUGGCAUAGCUGGGUAGCUAUGUUCGGAAUGGAUAACCGCUGAAAGCAUCUAAGCGGGAAGCCAACUCCAAGAUUAGAUAUCCCUUUCUGAUGGUGACAUCAGAUCAGUAGACUCCCUGAAGAUGACAGGGUUGAUAGGCUGGAUGUGUAAGUCCUGUAAGGGAUUUAGCUAACCAGUACUAAUAAGUCGUGAGGCUUGACCACCUUUUU
This 3052-nucleotide ribosomal RNA is filed under the name Candidatus Schekmanbacteria bacterium RIFCSPLOWO2_02_FULL_38_14. RNAcentral describes it as "bacterial LSU rRNA". It matches the Rfam family "Bacterial large subunit ribosomal RNA". Lineage: Bacteria; Candidatus Schekmaniibacteriota. The record is from RNAcentral.